This 212-nucleotide non-coding RNA is filed under the name Planococcus glaciei. RNAcentral's name for it is "Planomicrobium glaciei T-box sequence". It matches the Rfam family "T-box leader". From Rfam's summary of the family: Uncharged tRNA acts as the effector for transcription antitermination of genes in the T-box leader family. T-boxes are found upstream of many aminoacyl-tRNA synthetase genes and some amino acid biosynthetic genes usually in Gram-positive bacteria. The anticodon of a specific tRNA base pairs to a specifier sequence within the T-box motif, and the NCCA acceptor tail of the tRNA base pairs to a conserved bulge in the T-box antiterminator hairpin. Lineage: Bacteria; Bacillati; Bacillota; Bacilli; Caryophanales; Caryophanaceae. The record is from RNAcentral.
AGCAAAUCGUUGAAUAAGAAAAGUAGCGCAUCGAAUUCCUCUCAAAGAGAGCCGGUGGCAGGUGGAAACCGGCGGGGAAAAUGCGUGAAUGGGCUUAUGAGAGGUUCCUUGAACUACAGUAAAGGAACCCGUCUUCCCCGCGUUACAGGGGAUCGAGUGAAAGCUUUUUCAGCUUUAACAAGAGGUGGCACCGCGGUCAAACCGUCCUCUGC